AUUAAACUGUUAAUAGCUCCUGACUGAUUCCUCUUCUGCAACUGUCACUAGUCUAAUACUAUCCUUACCUUUUUGUGUCAUUUUACCCCACUCCCUCUAGCAUGUAAGCUCAUUGAGCAGGGCCCUCAACCCCUCUGUUCCUGUGUGUCCAACUUGUCUAGUUACAAUUACAUGUCUGUUCGUCCACCCAUUGUAAAGCGCUGCGGAAUUUGACGGCGCUCUAUAAAUAUCAUAAUAAUAAUAAUAUAUACAAAAUGUAUAAUCAAUGAUUUUAUGAAUGAUAC
Non-coding RNA from Pelobates cultripes (western spadefoot toad), 284 nucleotides. The record is from the annotation of a GenBank genome assembly. NCBI's taxonomy places the organism in Eukaryota, Metazoa, Chordata, Amphibia, Anura, Pelobatidae.